GCUGAGCACAGACAGAGGGAACAAUCUGAACAGGUUGAACGUCUCACUUCAGUGUUUCUGGAUUAUGCACUGGGAAUUUUUCCACCCUCUCAGCCUCUUCUGCAGUGUGCUGUCAUUACUUAUUGGCUGGUUCUCACGGCAAUACCAGAGAGCACAGGCAGAGCCUGGGGAUAGACCAGGAGGGAUUGCCCUCUUGCCAAGAAAGGAUUCGUCAUCUAAGUACAGAGUACAGAAAGGAAUACUGUUAGAUUUACACUAUUUAAUGGAGCAAAAGUUUUUGCCAUCACCUUUUGUCAUCACCUUUACGAUAAAUGGAGCUCAGAACAGGCAGUAAUUCUUUGAUUUUCUGCUCUGAUAAAAUGAAAGAAAAGCAAUUAGAGACUUUUUUUUCCCAACAUGGAAAGCAGUGUUUACACUGCUGUCAGUUGCACCAACAGUGAUAUCAUCCUGAUCGCAUGGAGUCAGAUCCUUCAGUUGGUGAUCUUACUCUUGACCUGUUUUUUUUUUUCCUGAUAAUCCUCCUUACUAUUCCUAAAAAAACCUCCAUAAUGGGAAGAUUCAGAUGUCUUAGUCCAUUCAGCUUGCUGCAAUAAGUGUUGAAGUACUCACUUCAUGCUAUUCAGCCCUUCUGGGUAUGGAUACCAGAGGUUUUCAAGUGUAAUAGUACUUGCCAUCUCCUCCAGAAGAUGAAAAAAACACCCGUUACUGAUCUCAGCCUACGAACCAACUGAUAUUCUCAGUCCUUGGCUCUCUGAGCAGACUACAGGGCAGAGAAGCAUUCAGUUUGUCCUUGCAUCUUCAGAGACUAAAGCAGGAGCAAUUAGAGAAAGAACAAUCAAUUGCUGUGUCAGCCUCACACAGGACAGAACAUCAUUCCAUCAUGCCCUGACAGCAGCUUAUAUGAGAUAUGGGAAGCUAUUGUGCUGGAUCUUAGCCAGGAGUGCUACUCCCUUACCACUUCAAAUGAAUAAAGAUUUGACCGUUGGCUGCA
This 991-nucleotide long non-coding RNA is filed under the name Anas platyrhynchos platyrhynchos (common mallard). RNAcentral describes it as "lncRNA (ENSAPLG00000029887.1)". The record is from RNAcentral. Lineage: Eukaryota; Metazoa; Chordata; Aves; Anseriformes; Anatidae.